This is a small nuclear RNA of Prolemur simus (greater bamboo lemur), 104 nucleotides long. The record is from Ensembl. NCBI's taxonomy places the organism in Eukaryota, Metazoa, Chordata, Mammalia, Primates, Lemuridae.
GUGCCUGCUUUGGCAGCACAUACACUAAAAUUGGAAUGAUACAGAGAUUAGCAUGGCACCUGUGAGAGGAUGACAAGCAGAUUCAUAAAGCAAUCCUUAUUUUU